Molecule: long non-coding RNA, 2040 nt
Organism: Mustela erminea (ermine)
Lineage: Eukaryota; Metazoa; Chordata; Mammalia; Carnivora; Mustelidae
Exons: 3
Source: RefSeq, a predicted model, not a curated record
UUUGUGUGAUUUUAUCUGAAAGUUUGAAGACUUAAAAUAUUUUUACUUUUAUGUUAAUGUACUUUUCUAGAGAGAAAUACAAAGUAUAUUACCUGGAGGAGUGCCAUUUAUGCUCCCUUAUGCUGUAAAAGUUGGUUGAUGCAUAAUUGGUUCUUUAAAGGUCCUAUUGUAUUCUUUUCCUCAUUAAGAGGAUUGACAGCUCUAACCUAGUGUUAUUUAUAAGCUAUACCCACAGGCACAUUGAAGUGUGUCCUACAUAUGGUAUAAUUAACCUGAGUCAUAAAUUGCUUAUCAAUCAUUUGCUCCUAGGUGUCAGAGGCAAUAUAUGGUAUCUUAAGAAUAAAACUGGGGAAACAUUGUUAAUACAAACAUACCUCAUUGAUUUGAGCCCCUGCCACUUCAGAAAUUGAGUUAAUUUGCUUGACCUGAGCUAACAUUUUUAACCCUUGCCUGACUCAUGAACAAAAGCAAAUCAGUGGUGUAAAGAGAAUUACAGGAAAAUGAUCAUCCUAUUUAAGGAGAAAAACCUAUUUGUAAGUAAUCAUUAAUUUAUUAAUUCAGCCAGUAUUUAUUAAGUGGUCACACAUUACAAUUACGGCACCAAGCACGAGUCUGAAAAUAUAAGGACCAGUUAGAUAGAGGCCCAGCCCUUAAGGAACAACAUUAUAUAGAUGGGAAUACAAGCAAGUAAACAAAGAGGAACAAUAAAAUGCCAUGACUGCCAAGAUAGCAGUCUUACAGAGGACAGGAAGGGGUAGAGGUCACAUCUAACUGCAGGCCUGGGAAUGAGGCAGAAAAGUCUUCAAAAGGAAAACAAUACUUGAACUGACUCUCUGGAGUUAAGAAUGUGGUUGGAUGGGCUGAAUGGAUGAGAUGAAGACAUUCUAGGCAGAAAGAGCAGCAUGAUCUAGAGGUUUGCAGCAAUCUACCUGGUUAGCAGAAUUGUCGGGCAGAUUGAGAACAUAUGCUACUACCACUGAUGGCGUCAAGUGAGUUCAGGCUGGAGUGGUGGUUGGGGGUCAGGGCAUGGAUGGUCUGGUUUCAUGGACUAAAAGAAUUUGAACUUUAUCUCGUGGGCAGUGGAGAACCAGUAAAGUCGUUUCGGCAAGAUAAUAACAUCAGCUUACUUUGCUGAUGGGUCAGCAAUGAAUUAGACAGGUGGAGCUAGGGGAGGCUAAACUGUUAAAGACAGUCCAAAUGAGCAAUGAUUGAGAUCCCAAAGUAGUAAUAUAGCAAUCAAGAGGAAGGGGAGGGAGACAGAUUGGAGAAAUGCUAGAAUCUAUAGGAUUUGCUGAUUGAUUGUAGUAAAGGGAUGGCAAGAGGAAGGAUUUAGGACAAGAGUUACAAUCUCGGAUGCCUGGAGAGCCAGACAGAUGACACAGAUGAAGAAAAGGAGCCUCAGCUUCCAAAGUGGCCAUUACGACUACUGUAUGACCUAAGAGCUUAUCUGAGUCUACAUGGACAUCUGUUACUCAGCUGAUUGUUCCAUGCAGAUAGGACCUGAUGUUGCCUCAUCUUCUGAUUUCUGAAGACACGUUAAAUCUGUCUUUCUAUGGGAAAUGUCCCAAGUCUGAAAUGUUGGCACAAAGUUUUCUAAAGUUCUCUCUGAACCAGACAAAAACAACUUCAACGAGUAAGCAGAGAGGUUGCAGCCUGUCUUCUAGGAUGACUCCUGUUUUCCAUUUUGAAUGAGUAGGAAAGUAUGGCGCCAUUCAAUAAGAUAGGAAAGGGAGGAGGAGAAGCAGGUUGGGAGGUGACGUGGGGAAAGCUGAUGAUGACGUUCUGAACAUGUUGAGUGUGAGAUGCCUCCGUUGAAUGUAGGUCAGAAACACAAAGAAAAGCCUGAACUGGAAAAUAAAGACCUGGGAAUUGUCAGUAAGUAGAUGGUAGAUGAAACUACUGAGGUAAAAGGGUCUGCUUAUGGAAAACAAAGUAUGAGUUGAAACAAGAGCCAGGAACAGAAUCUUAGAGAACACUAUCAUUUAAGAGGCUGGCAGAGAAAGAGGGGCUAGCAAAAGACAAAAAGAAAAUGUCACAAAA